CCCUUCGGGGGACAAAGUGACAGGUGGUGCAUGGUUGUCGUCAGCUCGUGUCGUGAGAUGUUGGGUUAAGUCCCGCAACGAGCGCAACCCUUAAGCUUAGUUGCCAUCAUUAAGUUGGGCACUCUAAGUUGACUGCCGGUGACAAACCGGAGGAAGGUGGGGAUGACGUCAAAUCAUCAUGCCCCUUAUGAUUUGGGCUACACACGUGCUACAAUGGACAAUACAAAGGGCAGCGAAACCGCGAGGUCAAGCAAAUCCCAUAAAGUUGUUCUCAGUUCGGAUUGUAGUCUGCAACUCGACUACAUGAAGCUGGAAUCGCUAGUAAUCGUAGAUCAGCAUGCUACGGUGAAUACGUUCCCGGGUCUUGUACACACCGCCCGUCACACCACGAGAGUUUGUAACACCCGAAGCCGGUGGAGUAACCUUUUAGGAGCUAGCCGUCGAAGGUGGGACAAAUGAUUGGGGUGAAGUCGUAACAAGGUAGCCGUAUCGGAAGGUGCGGCUGGAUCACCUCCUUUCUAAGGAUAUAUUCGGAAC
RNAcentral lists this ribosomal RNA (537 nucleotides) under Staphylococcus aureus S100. RNAcentral's name for it is "bacterial SSU rRNA". It matches the Rfam family "Bacterial small subunit ribosomal RNA", at positions 1016 to 1533 of the family's 1533-position model. RNAcentral also lists the same sequence under 1 other name. The record is from RNAcentral. Lineage: Bacteria; Bacillati; Bacillota; Bacilli; Caryophanales; Staphylococcaceae.